CCCUUAGACGUUCUGGGCCGCACGCGCGCUACACUGACCAGUGCAACAAGCAUCCGUCCUUGGCCGACAGGCCCGGGCAAUCUUUGAACGCUGGUCGUGAUGGGGAUAGACUUUUGCAAUUUUUGGUCUUCAACGAGGAAUUCCUAGUAAACGCAAGUCAUCAACUUGCAUUGAUUACGUCCCUGCCCUUUGUACACACCGCCCGUCGCACCUACCGAUUGAAUGACCCGGUGAAAUCUUCGGAUCGUCGUGUUGCCCGAUUCAUUUCGGGCGAUGUGACGCAAAGUUGAUUAAACCUUGCCAUUUAGAGGAAGGUGAAGUCGUAACA
RNAcentral lists this ribosomal RNA (328 nucleotides) under uncultured eukaryote. RNAcentral describes it as "partial 18S ribosomal RNA". It matches the Rfam family "Eukaryotic small subunit ribosomal RNA", at positions 1470 to 1796 of the family's 1831-position model. The record is from RNAcentral.